This 2893-nucleotide long non-coding RNA is filed under the name Homo sapiens (human). Its description in RNAcentral is "HSALNT0200207". Lineage: Eukaryota; Metazoa; Chordata; Mammalia; Primates; Hominidae. The record is from RNAcentral.
CAUGCCUCCAAGUCUUCACCAGGAAAUACUAAUUUCUUGCAAUUUGCAACAUGGAGCUCGCUAAUUCCUAUCUAAUUUUCCAGAUAUGAUGGCUCUGAUUGAUGUCAGAGUGGGAUUCAAAGUAGAACUUCAGUGACUCCAAGGAGCACCAAGUCACCAAAAGGCCAAAAGAUAAAAACAAGCAAGAAAGCAAACAAAUAAAAGUAACAACAAAAUUUAAGAACCCCUUGCAUGGAAGGAUGCUUAUUUCCUCUGGACUGAAAGAUGGCAUCAGAAGUGGGAUCUAAAGUAAAGCUUCUAACAAUCCCCAUGAGCACUGAGUGACCAAGCAAGGUACACGCCAGGCCUGUUCUGUCUGUUGCUCUCACAGAGGAGCUGGGGAUCGUGGAGGUUCAUGACAGGAUGAAAAGAAACCUGAGAAGCACUCUUGAAGAGAGGUUUCUGAAUAACUUUCGAAUCAUAUCAUUUGGACUGGAUGACAGAAACUUCAUCUGCAUUGGCUUCGGCAAAGCAGAAAUUUAUUAGCUUACAAGGCUGUACAGGAAACAUGGCUGGGGAGGUCUCAGGAAACUUACAAUCAUGGUGGAAAGUGAAGAGGAAGAAGACACAUCUUACAUGACAGAAGCAGGAAGAAGAGAGUGAAGGGAGAAACACAGAGCCAUCACUGACAAAGCGUUCAUGUGGGGGCGGGUUGGUUGUGCUGGGGGCCAAGGUCAAGAGGUGCUGCCCAGUGAAGAGUAGCAGGGGUGAGGACCCAUGUGGAAAAGAGUCUGGCUGCUUUUCUGCAAGUCUGUACACUGUGCUGGGGGUCUAUGUUAGUCCCCAAUCACUGUGCUCACUCCCAAGACUGAGGGCAACAGGAGUGAGGGCUGUGGAGCAGCAAAAACAGCAGCCUGCCCAUCCCCUCCAGGAGUUCCAUGCCAGGGAAGUACAGAUCUGUUCCUCAAGAGCCCAGGUGGGACUUUUGUGACCAUGCUAGGAUCCCAGGCCAGUCUGGCAACGGGCUGUGUAGAAGAGCCCCACAGUCCACCCACUGCUUAGCCCCAUGGAUUGUGUUCCUAUUCUGAGGACAUGCAAGAGAGCCUGUCCUCCCCCAUUGCCGCAGCUGCAGCCAUUGGUACCAGGGUGCCUGGGGAUGAAAAGCUCCAAGGAUUUCAUGAGUGCCUGAGUGGCAGUUCUGCCCACACUCCAUGUAGCUGUCUAUGUCAGUCCAGAGGCCCUGGUGGGGCACGGGUGUCAUGGGGGAUCGCCUGGGCCCAGGGUUGCAAAGGUCUGUGGCAGAAAUGUGACUCCCUGGGGACUCUCACUUACUAACCAUGGUGAGGGCCAUCUCCCGGCUCUAUGCCACUUCUGGGUGAAUGAUUGUCCUGUCUCAUUCUUCUGUUUUCUGUGUAUUGUUUCCUUGAUGAAUCCCAAUGUGUCCACCUGGAUGGUCCACUCACCACUCUUUCUUCUCUUUGUGAGAGCAGCACACACCAGCUGCUUCUAGUCAGUCACCUUGAAAGGAGCUCAUCUUUAUUUAUUUUUUUAUAUGCCUACGGUGGAAGAUGUGGAAGAUACAUUAAAGAUUAUCUGAAUUGUACUAUCUUCCCUCAAAGAUUGUUAAUUAUUCUCUGGCAAGUCCUUAAAUUCAGGCACAUCUUUUAUUUAUUUAUGUAUUUAUUUUUUUAGACAAGGUCUUGUUCUGUCACCCAGGCUGGAGUGCAGUGGUGUGAUCACUGCUCACUGCAGUCUUGACCUCCCAGGCUCAAUGGUCCUCCUGCCUCUCAGCCUCCUGAGUAGCUGAGGCUACAGGCUCACACACCACCCCACUAAUUACUGUAUUUUUUGCAGAGAUGAUGUUUUGCCAUGUUGCCCACCCUGGUCUCGAACUCCUGGACUGAAAUGAUCUGCCCACCUCAGCCUCCCAAAGUGCUGGGAUUGCAGGUGUGAGCCAUUGCAUCCAGCCAGGUGCAUCUUAAUUUUUUCAAGGGUUAGUUUCAGGCUUUUUAAAGGUACAUUAUUUCAGCUUUCCUCUUACACCUAGAAGAGACAUGACCCUUACUCCUAGGAACUAGGUCUGACCCUUACUCCUAGGAACUAGGUCUUACCCUUACAAUGUGUUUCUACUGGAAUCUCUAGCUAAAUCUCACUAUUCAUCAAAUUGUCUCCACUACAGCUGGAACCAGUGUCAUCUUCUAUCUAUCUUCCUAAUACUGUGUAGCCUCUGUGAUUUCUUCCAUGAUCUCCAGCUUCUAGCUGCUAUUCUAUGCUUGGCCUUCUAGAAUCUCUUCUUAUGUAUACAAAUCUCAGCAGUUGGCCAAAAACCCAAGAAAAAUUUUGGGGACACUUUAUGGCUCCUUCUUUGUGGAAUCCUGCCUCUUGAUUCAACCAUGUCAACCCCGUUAAGCUCUAAUCUCUGUCUCCCCUGCCUAGUGAAAUUGACAUUCAUCUUGGGUUCUAUGUAGCAGCUUAGUAAUUGGUAAAUGCUCUUGGGGGAAAGCUAUGUGUGAUCUUAACUUUCUGUGUUUCCUGCUUUCAAAGACCGUAAUCCACAUUGGUUGCCUUCCAAUGCCUGCAGUCAUUGUACAUAUUUUAGCUGUUAUAUCAUUAAGGAAAAUCUUAUAUCCAAGCCAUUUACUUUAACUGACACUAUUUAAAAUCUUAAUCUAAUAUGGUUUGAAAAAAUAUGGUGUUUGCAUGUUCUCACUCAUAAGUGGGAGUUGAACAAUGAGAACACAUGGACACAGGGUGGGGAACAUCACACACCAGAGCCUGUCAGGGGGUCAGGGACUAGGGGAGGGAGAGCAUUAGGAGAAAUACCUAAUGUAGAUGAUGGGUUGAUGGGUGCAGCAAACCAUCAUGGCACGUGUAUAUGUAUGUAACAAACCUGCAUGUUCUGCACAUGUAUCCC